GGAAGCCGGUGUGAAUCCGGCGCAGUCGCGCUACUGUGACGCCGCUUGCGGCGAAGCCAGAC
RNAcentral lists this non-coding RNA (62 nucleotides) under Aeromicrobium choanae. The record is from RNAcentral. Lineage: Bacteria; Bacillati; Actinomycetota; Actinomycetes; Propionibacteriales; Nocardioidaceae.